Molecule: ribosomal RNA, 435 nt
Filed under: uncultured bacterium
Lineage: Bacteria
Description: partial 16S ribosomal RNA
Rfam family: Bacterial small subunit ribosomal RNA
Source: RNAcentral
AGCGAACGCUGGCGGCAGGCUUAACACAUGCAAGUCGAGCGGGCACUUUCGGGUGUCAGUGGUGGAAGGGUGAGUAACGCGUGGGAACGUGCCCUUUGGUUCGGAAUCACUCAGGGAAACUUGAGUUCAUACCGGCUACGCUCUUUUGGGGAAAGGCUUGCUGCCGGAGGAUUGGCUAGUGUCUGAUUAGCUUGUUGUUGAGGUUACGGGUCACCACGGCGACGUACCGUAGCUGGGCUGAGAGGCAGAGCAGCCACACUGGGACUAAGACGCGGCCCAGAAUCCUACGGGAUGGAGCAGUGGGGGAUGGUGGACAGUGGGCGCAAGGCUGAUCCAGCCAGGCCGGGUGAGUGAUGAAGGCCUGAGGGUUGUAAAGCGCUUGUAUCCGGGACGAUAAUGACGGUACCGAAGGAAUAAGCCCCGGCUAACUUCGUG